This 3288-nucleotide ribosomal RNA is filed under the name Triticum aestivum (bread wheat). RNAcentral describes it as "partial small subunit ribosomal RNA". Lineage: Eukaryota; Viridiplantae; Streptophyta; Magnoliopsida; Poales; Poaceae. The record is from RNAcentral.
AUGCCGCCGCGCUCCUGCGCCCUCGCGCUGCUUGUAUCGCUCGCCUGCGCCGCGCUGCUGGUCGCCCCGUGCCGGUGCGUCAAUGAGCAGGGCCGCGCGCUGCUGGACUGGCGGCGGUCGCUGCGGCCGACGGGCGGCGCGCUCGACUCGUGGAGGGCGUCGGACGCUUCCCCGUGCCGGUGGCUCGGCGUGUCGUGCGACGCGCGCGGCGCCGUCACGUCGCUGAGCGUCACCGGCGUCGACCUGCGUGGCCCGCUCCCCGCGAACCUGCUGCCGCUCGCGCCGUCGCUCACCACGCUGGUGCUCUCCGGCACGAACCUCACCGGCCCGAUCCCGCCGGAGAUCGGCGGGUACGGCGAGCUCGUCACGCUCGACCUCAGCAAGAACCAGCUCACGGGCGCGAUCCCGCCCGAGCUCUGCCGGCUCGCCAAGCUCGAGACGCUCGCGCUCAACUCCAAUUCCCUGUGCGGCGCCAUCCCCGACGACCUCGGCGACCUCGCCAGCCUCACGCAUGUCACGCUCUACGACAACGAGCUCAGCGGCACCAUCCCGGCGAGCAUCGGGAGGCUCAAGAAGCUGCAGGUCAUCCGCGCCGGCGGGAACCAGGCGCUCAAGGGCCCGCUGCCAAAGGAGAUCGGCGGCUGCGCCGACCUCACCAUGAUCGGCCUCGCCGAGACCGGCAUGUCCGGCAGCCUCCCGGAGACGAUCGGCCAGCUCAAGAAGAUCCAGACCAUUGCCAUCUACACCACAAUGCUCUCCGGCGGCAUCCCGGAGUCCAUCGGCAACUGCACCGAGCUCACCAGCCUCUACCUCUACCAGAAUUCUCUUUCGGGCGCGAUACCGCCGCAGCUUGGCCGGCUCCGGAAGCUGCAGUCGCUGCUGCUCUGGCAGAACCAGCUCGUGGGCGCGAUCCCGCCGGAGCUCGGCCAGUGCGAGGAGCUCACCCUUAUCGACCUCUCGCUGAAUUCUCUCUCCGGCAGCAUUCCGGCAACCUUGGGCCGGCUGCCGAACCUCCAGCAGCUGCAGCUGAGCACGAACCGGCUCACCGGCGUCAUCCCGCCGGAGCUCUCCAACUGCACCUCGCUGACGGAUAUCGAGCUCGACAACAACGCGCUCUCCGGGGAGAUCCGCCUCGACUUCCCGAAGCUCGGGAACCUCACGCUGUUCUACGCGUGGAAAAACGGCCUCACUGGCGGCGUGCCGGCGAGCCUCGCCGAGUGCGCGAGCCUCCAGUCGGUGGACCUCUCCUACAACAACCUCACCGGGCCGAUCCCGAAGGAGCUAUUCGGGCUGCAGAACUUGACGAAGCUGCUGCUGCUGAGCAACGAGCUCUCCGGCGUCGUGCCGCCCGACAUCGGCAACUGCACCAACCUCUACCGGCUUCGGCUCAACGGCAACCGGCUGUCGGGCACGAUACCCCCCGAGAUCGGCAACCUGAAGAACCUCAAUUUCCUCGACAUGAGCGAGAACCACCUCGUCGGCCCGGUGCCGGCGGCCAUUUCCGGGUGCGCCAGCCUCGAGUUCCUCGACCUGCACUCCAAUGCUCUGUCCGGCGCAUUGCCUGCCGCGCUGCCGCGCAGCCUCCAGCUCGUUGACGUGUCCGAUAACCAGCUUUCUGGGCAGCUGAGGUCCAGCGUUGCCUCGAUGCCGGAGCUGACGAAGCUUUACUUGGCGAAGAAUCGGCUGACCGGCGGCAUCCCGCCGGAGCUCGGUUCAUGCGAGAAGCUCCAGCUGCUGGACCUCGGGGACAACGCGUUCUCUGGCGGCAUCCCCGCGGAGCUCGGGGCGCUCCAGUCGUUGGAGAUUUCGCUUAACCUCAGUUGCAACCGUCUGUCCGGUGAGAUACCGCCGCAGUUCGCCGGCCUUGACAAGCUCGGCAGCCUCGACCUGUCGCACAACGGGCUGUCCGGGAGCCUCGACCCGCUCGCGGCGUUGCAGAACCUCGUCACGCUCAACAUCUCAUACAACGCCUUCUCUGGCGAGCUCCCGAACACCCCCUUCUUCCAGAAGUUGCCGCUCAGCGACCUCGCCGGCAAUCGCCACCUCGUCGUCAGCGAUGGCUCCGACGAGUCCUCCGGGCGCGGCGCCCUGACGACGCUCAAGAUAGCCAUGUCCGUCCUGGCCGUUGUCAGCGCGGCGUUCCUGGUGGCCGCCACCUACAUGCUCGCCCGCGCGCGCCUCGGCGGCCGCAGCAGCGCCCCGGUGGACGGGCACGGCACGUGGGAGGUGACGCUGUACCAGAAGCUGGACAUAUCCAUGGACGACGUGCUCCGCGGGCUGACGUCCGCGAACGUGAUCGGCACAGGCAGCUCUGGCGUGGUGUACAGGGUGGACACCCCGAACGGCUACACCAUCGCGGUGAAGAAGAUGUGGUCGCCGGACGAGGCAAGCGCCGGCUUGGCCUUCCGCAGCGAGAUCGCCGCGCUGGGGUCCAUCCGCCACCGCAACAUCGUCCGGCUGCUGGGCUGGGCGGCCAACGGCGGCAGCAGCACGCGGCUGCUGUUCUACAGCUACCUGCCCAACGGUAACCUGAGCGGCCUCCUCCACGGCGGCGUCGUCGGGGGCACCAAGGGCGCGCCGACGGCCGAGUGGGGCGCGCGCUACGACGUGGCGCUCGGGGUCGCCCACGCCGUGGCGUACCUACACCACGACUGCGUGCCGGCCAUCCUGCACGGGGACAUCAAGUCGAUGAACGUGCUGCUCGGCCCGGCCUACGAGCCGUACCUCGCCGACUUCGGCCUCGCCCGCAUCCUCUCCUCCGGGCAGAGCAAGCUCGACGACUCCUCGUCCAAGCCGCAGCGCAUCGCCGGCUCCUACGGCUACAUGGCGCCAGAGUACGCGUCGAUGCAGCGGAUCAGCGAGAAGAGCGACGUGUACAGCUUCGGGGUGGUGCUGCUGGAGGUGCUGACGGGGCGGCACCCGCUGGACCCGACGCUGCCGGGCGGGGCGCACCUGGUGCAGUGGGUGCAGGCCAAGCGCGGGAGCGACGACGAGAUCCUGGACGCGCGGCUGAGGGAGAGCGCCGGCGAGGCGGACGCGCACGAGAUGCGGCAGGUGCUGGCCGUGGCCGCGCUCUGCGUGUCCCGCCGCGCGGACGACCGGCCCGCGAUGAAGGACGUGGUGGCGCUGCUCGAGGAGAUCCGGCGCCCCGCCGCGGCCGACGACGCCAAGCCGCCGCGGCCGGCGACCACGCUGCCCUCCGCCGCGGCCGCGCCGAUGCUGUCGCCGGCCCGGGGCGGCGCGCGCUCUGUGGGCGACUCGUUCGCCGUCUCGGACUACUCCGCCUGA